GAUAAUAAUCGGGUAUUAAAUCAUUCACCGAAGCUAUGGAAACCGUAAGGUUUGGUAGGGGAGCAUUCCAAGUGCGUUGAAGGUAUGAGAUGACUCAUGCUGGAGCGCUUGGAAAAGCAAAUGUAGGUAUAAGUAACGAUAAAGGGGGUGCGAUGCCCCCGCGCCGCAAGACUAAGGAUUCCCGGGCAACGUUAAUCGGCCCGGGGUAAGUCGGGACCUAAGGAUAAGCCGAAAGGCGAGGCCGAUGGAAGAGACGGUAAAAAUUCCGUCACUACCUUAUGGGGCGAUGUGGAGACGGAGAAGUGACACUGCCGCGUUCUGACGGAAAUGGACGUUAAAGAGUGUAGGCGAUGAGGAAGGCAGGCAAAUCCACCUUCCGAGCUGAACUUAAAAGUAUGCAAAGCCUUCGGGCGGCGCAAUAGCGCAGGUAAGCAGACUCCCGAGAAAAUCCGCUAAGCUUAACCCAUAAGGUACCCGUACCGUAAACGGACACACGUAGUC
RNAcentral lists this ribosomal RNA (501 nucleotides) under Prevotella sp. RNAcentral's name for it is "partial 23S ribosomal RNA". It matches the Rfam family "Bacterial large subunit ribosomal RNA", at positions 1166 to 1668 of the family's 2925-position model. The record is from RNAcentral. Lineage: Bacteria; Pseudomonadati; Bacteroidota; Bacteroidia; Bacteroidales; Prevotellaceae.